Molecule: long non-coding RNA, 2459 nt
Organism: Corythoichthys intestinalis (scribbled pipefish)
Lineage: Eukaryota; Metazoa; Chordata; Actinopteri; Syngnathiformes; Syngnathidae
Exons: 3
Source: RefSeq, a predicted model, not a curated record
CAGAAUGGGGACUGUAGUAUUUUAUUUACUGUUAUUUUUGUUUAUUUGUUUACUGUUAUAUGUUAACUUGAUACUGAAAUAGUAGUUUGGUUUAGCCUGAGGAUUUUUGAACAAUUUUGGAACUAAUGUAAAAAACAUUUAAAUUGUUUUUUUUUUUUUUUUUUUUUUUUUAAGGGUGGGGGGUGCAUCAAUAAUCAUUUUAUAAUCAAAUCGGAGCCUCUGAAUCGUAAUCGAAUCGUUAGGUGCCCAAAGAUUCCCAGCUCUACUAAUAGUGGCAAUCUACAAAAUUGUCUUUUCUAAAACAACCCCUAAUCGUGGCUUUAGACGUUCUGACAAUAUUGCAGGUGUUAGCAAUGAUUAUAUCAAUCGUAGACCCCAUUUUAUUUAAGUAUAGGAGAGGCAGAAACAUAGAAUGACAACAGUACAACAUCUCUGCCCCUAAACUAUUUUUGUACAACAACCAAAAAUAACUAUGAAUUUAAAAUAUUCAAAAGGGCCCACAGGAUCAAGAUUUGAAGCACACCUGACGAGAUAUCUGACAGGCGUUGCAAUCAUCAAGACAUGUUUCCUGGACCCAGUCAGUGUCUGAAGCUAACAUUAGCAACCACGCAAAUUAAGCAUCUACGUGUUCACCUAUCACAGUUCCGAUACCUACCCUGGGAAAAUAGCAACAACGGCCAUGUCAAUAUAACAUGACAAAGCUUAGUUUGACAAAAGAAAAUGGCUGACUGGAAGGAAAGUCACUCUUUUGACUUACUUGUUAGCCUAUCACACCCACUGACGUUAGCUAAGCGUUGACCUACACGUAAGACUCGCACGAGAUACGGCGGGUUAUAAAAUAUUAAAUACAAUGCAUGUCAAACAAACACCGAGCACUUACAUGUUAAAAUUAGACGGAGAAUUUUCAGAAGGAGCAACAGUCCUCCCCAAUCAUGCCGGGGGUCAAGAUUAAAUUAAAGUCACAACCGGAAACAAAUGGGCGACCCGCAUUCUAUUUCCGGGUGAGUUAUUGCGUUAGAAAAAAACGACGAGGGGGCAAGUGAUAAAAUGUUGCCGCACUGUACAUUGUGUACAGUAUGUAUGUAUGUAUGUACGUUUUUGUCGUCUGACACACAGUGGCGGUCUUGGCAAUUUUGGGGCCUAAGGCGAACAUAUCCAGGGGCCCUCCUCAUGGGUCAAGUGUUGAAAAGUGAUGCUGCAGAAGCUCCUCCUUUCUCCAUGAUCUCCUCCCUGAUGGCAGCCCAGGACUUGCGCUCCAAAGCAGAGAGGCUGCAAAUGGCCAAAGCGUUGUUCUGCUUUCCUGUGCUGGCCUGGUCCACCACCUUUAACAACUGGUUGUAGAUAUCAUUGAAGGAUCGAGCAAAUGAUGGCCCACCGGUGCUGGAACGCUGUAAUAUGUCAACCGGGAACACUCCGCCAACACAGGUUCUUGCCAGGAAUUCGUGUGGCAGCAAAAACCUCUGAUUGUUGAGUCUGUUCCAUCGGCACGUCACCUUCCAGUAUCUUUGGCUCGCUGUACAACUUUGCUGCAGCCCAAAGCAAAGCAGCUGCUCUUGUUAACUGGUUGCAUCCCUCUGAUUUGGAUGGUAGAAGGACAACUGGGAGGGCUGUGGCAGUUGACAAGGGGUCCGCACAUGACAACAGACUUUUCUUGAACUGCUCGGUCACCCAAUUCUCUUGGCCUGCUGCACUAGAUGCUAACUUUUGCUGGGUCUCUUCAAGAUGGGGCCUCUGCUUCUCCAGCGUGCUUUUGAAGUCAGCAUACAGAUCAGGACUCGAAGUGAGCUGUAGAACACGACAAACUUCCUGCAAGGUCACAUCCAGCUCUGGAACAGGGUAGUCAAGAAGAGCCAUUCUGUUGAAAUUUUGGAAGCUGGGGAGAGAAGUGGACUUGUUUAUUCUGGACAUUCUAAUGCAUUAUGUGUGAAAAUGUAGUAAAAUAAAUAAUUAUGCUUGCAUGAAAAGGUAAAAUGUUCAUGGAGAUUUGACCCACAGGUUAGGCCAUCCCUUUACUCUAGAAAAAUCUUAUCGAACCCCGCCAAAGAAAAUGCCACAAAAGUGUGAAUAAUGAAAACAUAUAUAACCUUAUCAUGAUUUAUCAUUAUUCUUAUUAUAAUUUUUGGACUUACUCAAUGUGAAAAUCCCGCAAGCACCCCUGAUGGUCUUUGAAAACCAAUCCAAGAAAUGGCUCAGUUUAAAGAAACCCAGUUUUUAUCCUUAAUGCUAAUUAAUUUUUACUUCUCCAUGAAUGUGGAAUUGUGUGUCUUUUGAAUUGAUAUACUUCUCAUGAUGAUUUACUGUACUGUUUAUUCAAAAUAUUUUUAAGAAGCUUCUAUUAGCCUCCUAUCUGUGUAGUGGUAUUCAGUGUAAUCAUAUUGAAAAUAAGAUUAUCGUAAUGAAAAAAGAUUAAACUAUCAGCAAAUCCGAUAUUGUCAGUUUUGUCAGGUUUGCAUUCAGGU